UCGCGAGUGGUGAAAAGGUAUCACAAGGGUCUUUGGAACCUUUAUUCCAGGUUCGAAUCCUGGCUCGCGAGCCA
This 74-nucleotide transfer RNA is filed under the name Chloroflexota bacterium. Its description in RNAcentral is "tRNA-Gln". It matches the Rfam family "tRNA". From Rfam's summary of the family: Transfer RNA (tRNA) molecules are approximately 80 nucleotides in length. Their secondary structure includes four short double-helical elements and three loops (D, anti-codon, and T loops). Further hydrogen bonds mediate the characteristic L-shaped molecular structure. tRNAs have two regions of fundamental functional importance: the anti-codon, which is responsible for specific mRNA codon recognition, and the 3' end, to which the tRNAs corresponding amino acid is attached (by aminoacyl-tRNA synthetases). tRNAs cope with the degeneracy of the genetic code in two manners: having more than one tRNA (with a specific anti-codon) for a particular amino acid; and 'wobble' base-pairing, i.e. permitting non-standard base-pairing at the 3rd anti-codon position. Lineage: Bacteria; Bacillati; Chloroflexota. RNAcentral also lists the same sequence under 2 other names. The record is from RNAcentral.